RNAcentral lists this long non-coding RNA (349 nucleotides) under Elaeis guineensis (African oil palm). Its description in RNAcentral is "long non-coding RNA (EGUI_LNC052075)". The record is from RNAcentral. Lineage: Eukaryota; Viridiplantae; Streptophyta; Magnoliopsida; Arecales; Arecaceae.
AUAUCAAAAUAACCUAUAGGAUUUAUAAUAAAUCUAAUUAGAUUAAAUUAAGAUUAAAUUUUAAAGUGUGUGAUUCAUUGGAUUUCAAAAUCUAGCUAGUAGUGGACUCAGGCUCAUGACCUAAACCAAACCGAUUAGAAUAGGUCAGCCCAAAUGCACCAAUUAAUCAAAAUUUUUUUUAAUUAAUUUUUGAAUUAAACUCUUUUAAUUCUUGCGAGUUCAUAAGUCAUGAUUGAUAUCUAGCAAUCUGUCAUGAUGACUCGAAAGAUAUGAAAUUUGAUAAAAAUACCAAAAGUAUCCUUCGAUGGCAAGUUACCUUGUAAUUCAAUCUUUCGACAUACAACACCCC